UGCUUGACGGGUGGCUUCUCUACUGCUAAGCCACCGGGGAAGCCGUGUCAGGCCUUGUGCUGGAGAUGUGAUACCUGCAUGAGUUCAUGUCAUUGUCAUGCCCUUCUGUGACGUGGGUGCUGUAAUUAUCCCCAGGCGUUGGAAGGGAAACAGAAGCCAAGGGAAGAGAAAUCACCCGCCGAAGGACAUCCAGCUGAGAAGUGAUGGAGCCAGGACUCCAGUCCAGGUCCUGCUCCAAGCCCACACCUGCAUCCGCCAGCUCAUCCUCCGGGUGCACAACAUCGUCAGCUCUGCAGCCGCUGCCUCCGCCACCCGUGUUUCACCCUGAGCGAGCCCCCACCAGCACCAUAGGCUCGUCAUCAGGAUCAAAUGAGCUCUUGCUUAUUAAGUACUCAGAUCAACGUUCUGGAGACUGAAGUCCAGAGAGGGAAGGGGAGGAGCAAAGAGGAAAGGUGAGGAGUGCUUGGGCAUCUGCUGUGAGGUACACACCCAGCUGCACACCCAUCUGUGGGCACCCUUUCAGCGAAUCAGAGCACUCUCCAUCUCGUUUUUACAGGUAAUUGCUGAAGGAUUUUUGCUUCAAACAGACUCUGGCUUGUUUGGGGUGUGCGGUACUGUAACAUGGACCAAGGACAGGCAGCCUCAAUCCAGAAAUGCCAGCUGGAGGCCAGAAUGAUCCUGUUGUUAAGAGGAACCAGGGACUCAGUUGGAACAUUCUUCAGGGCAGAGAAGGAGUUCAUUAAGUGGCUCAGAAUUAAGAUGGGCAGGACUAAGGAAGAGUGGGACUUAAUUCCCUUGCAUACCCAGGGGAAGGGGUCUCUUUUGGAAGAGAUUUGCA
Long non-coding RNA from Cervus elaphus (red deer), 838 nucleotides. RefSeq lists it as uncharacterized. NCBI's taxonomy places the organism in Eukaryota, Metazoa, Chordata, Mammalia, Artiodactyla, Cervidae. The record is from RefSeq and is a predicted model, not a curated record. The transcript is spliced from 4 exons.